Molecule: ribosomal RNA, 744 nt
Filed under: uncultured bacterium
Lineage: Bacteria
Description: bacterial SSU rRNA
Rfam family: Bacterial small subunit ribosomal RNA
Source: RNAcentral
UCGAGGGGCAGCGGAGAGUAGCAAUACUCUGCCGGCGACCGGCGAAAGGGUGCGUAACGCGUGAGCAACUUGCCCGUAUCCGGGACAUAAGCGGUGGAAACGCCGUCUAAUUUCCCAUAACAACGAGGGCCGCAUGACCCAUGUUUGAAAGAUCCGUCGGAUACGGAUGGGCUCGCGAGACAUUAGCUAGUCGGCGUGGUAACGGCACACCGAGGCGACGAUGUCUAGGGGUUCUGAGAGGAAGGUCCCCCACACUGGAACUGAGACACGGUCCAGACUCCUACGGGAGGCAGCAGUGAGGAAUAUUGGUCAAUGGGCGCAAGCCUGAACCAGCCAUGCCGCGUGAAGGAAUAAGGCCCUAUGGGUCGUAAACUUCUUUUGUGGUGGAGCAAUAAGGUGCACGUGUGCGUCGAUGAGAGUACAUCACGAAUAAGCAUCGGCUAACUCCGUGCCAGCAGCCGCGGUAAUACGGAGGAUGCAAGCGUUAUCCGGAUUUAUUGGGUUUAAAGGGUGCGUAGGCUGUUCGACAAGUCAGGGGUGAAAGCCCAGUGCCUAACACUGGAACUGCCUUUGAUACUGCCGAGCUGGAAUACGGAUGCCGUGGGAGGAAUGAGUAGUGUAGCGGUGAAAUGCAUAGAUAUUACUCAGAACACCGAUUGCGAAGGCAUCUCACGAAUCCGUCAUUGACGCUGAGGCACGAAAGCGUGGGGAUCAAACAGGAUUAGAUACCCUGGUAGUCCACGC